GAGCGGGCGUAGCAAUACGUCAGCGGCAGACGGGUGAGUAACGCGUGGGAACGUACCUUUUGGUUCGGAACAACACAGGGAAACUUGUGCUAAUACCGGAUAAGCCCUUACGGGGAAAGAUUUAUCGCCGAAAGAUCGGCCCGCGUCUGAUUAGCUAGUUGGUGAGGUAACGGCUCACCAAGGCGACGAUCAGUAGCUGGUCUGAGAGGAUGAUCAGCCACAUUGGGACUGAGACACGGCCCAAACUCCUACGGGAGGCAGCAGUGGGGAAUAUUGGACAAUGGGCGCAAGCCUGAUCCAGCCAUGCCGCGUGAGUGAUGAAGGCCCUAGGGUUGUAAAGCUCUUUUGUGCGGGAAGAUAAUGACGGUACCG
RNAcentral lists this ribosomal RNA (372 nucleotides) under uncultured Afipia sp. RNAcentral's name for it is "bacterial SSU rRNA". It matches the Rfam family "Bacterial small subunit ribosomal RNA", at positions 64 to 480 of the family's 1533-position model. Lineage: Bacteria; Pseudomonadati; Pseudomonadota; Alphaproteobacteria; Hyphomicrobiales; Nitrobacteraceae. The record is from RNAcentral.